UACAGAGGUCUCGAGCGUUGUUCGGAUUCAUUGGGCGUAAAGGGUGCGUAGGUGGCGUGGUAAGUCUGGUGUGAAAUCCCGGGGCUCAACCCCGGAACUGCACUGGAUACUGCCAUGCUUGAGUACUGGAGAGGAGAUUGGAAUUUACGGUGUAGCAGUGAAAUGCGUAGAUAUCGUAAGGAAGACCAGUGGCGAAGGCGAAUCUCUGGACAGUUACUGACACUGAGGCACGAAGCCAGGGGAGCGAAACGGG
Molecule: ribosomal RNA, 253 nt
Filed under: uncultured bacterium
Lineage: Bacteria
Description: partial 16S ribosomal RNA
Rfam family: Bacterial small subunit ribosomal RNA
Source: RNAcentral